RNAcentral lists this ribosomal RNA (253 nucleotides) under uncultured bacterium. Its description in RNAcentral is "partial 16S ribosomal RNA". It matches the Rfam family "Bacterial small subunit ribosomal RNA", at positions 524 to 776 of the family's 1533-position model. The record is from RNAcentral.
UACAGAGGGUGCAAGCGUUAAUCGGAAUGACUGGGCGUAAAGCGCGCGUAGGUGGUUUGUUAAGUUGGAUGUGAAAGCCCUGGGCUCAACCUGGGAACGGCAUCCAAAACUGGCAGACUAGAGUAUAGUAGAGGGGGGUAGAAUUUCCGGUGUAGCGGUGAAAUGCGUAGAGAUCGGAAGGAAUACCAGUGGCGAAGGCGGCCCCCUGGACUGAUACUGACACUGAAGUGCGAAAGCGUGGGUAGCAAACAGG